Non-coding RNA from Pteropus alecto (black flying fox), 52 nucleotides. Lineage: Eukaryota; Metazoa; Chordata; Mammalia; Chiroptera; Pteropodidae. The record is from Rfam.
UUUUUAGCAUAAAUAUACCCCAUGCAGUAUUUGGGAUAUACUUAUGCUAAAA